RNAcentral lists this long non-coding RNA (2609 nucleotides) under Equus caballus (horse). RNAcentral's name for it is "lncRNA (ENSECAG00000059267.1)". The record is from RNAcentral. Lineage: Eukaryota; Metazoa; Chordata; Mammalia; Perissodactyla; Equidae.
UUUUGGGAAAAGGUGAAGUAUAAAUAGGAAUACUGCUGACAUAUUUUGGAAAAUGCUACUUUAUCCCUUUUGAUUUCCAUGAGUGCUUCAGAAGACUUUUCGAAUGACAUUGGAUGACAGUUCUAAAUAUUAGUUUGGAAUGUAGCCAUCAAGGAGAAGUCUAGGAUAAAGAAGUCAAAUGAGAAUAAAGCCAAAUCACUUCAUCCAUGGAAGGAGAAAGAAUGCUGGAGCAGGAAGCCCAGUGGAAUAUUAUAAGCAGGUGUGUCUGGUACUGGUCCAGGAAGAAAACACAGCAAAUAGCCCUGGAAAACAAGGAGCUUUAGCUUGAGGGUCCAGCGCCCCUCCCCCAGCUUUCAUCCCCGCUCAACCUCAGAGAUGAGCAAAUACAGCUUCAGAAGGGGCCGACCACUAAAAGGAGGACCACUGCAACAGGUGGAAUAAUUUCUAAACUCCUGUUGUCCUUCUUUGUUUGGAUAACUCCAUCCUUUUUCUCAGUCUAUCUGAAGGAGAUUGAACCGUGCCAUUAUUUAGUCUUAUUUUCUUUGGGACCUGGAAGGCAGCCUUGCUAUCAUUUACCUAGUUUUCAGCCAUGUGGACACAAAUCAAAACUCUAUCAGGAAAGUAAUAGGUGUCACUUGUCCCUGUUUUGAGGACUGAUGGAGGCUCAGCAGUCAUCCUGCCACAAGGAAUUGAAGGAAGUCAAUCUCUGUUUCAUUGUCCUGAAGCUAUUUCUCACCGAAGGGACGCUGGAUUUUUACCCACUUCGAUUAAUGAAAGAAACUUCUAGUUCUGGCACUCUUUGUUAGGAGGAAAGAUAAAUAAGGAAAGGAUUUACCUACAACCCGGCCUCGUGAUGAAAUAAUGAAUGGUCAGUGCCAGGAGGUUUUAGAAAGCAGGGUUCUUCCUUCUUCUCUCAAGUGGUCCAGAUGUUGGAACCUCACCUCUGGGAGGACGUGUUCCAAAGCACAUCCAGGUCUCCCAGUGGGAUCACGUGGAAACUUCAGUGGGCCCUGCUGUAUUCUAAGUGGGGGUGUCACUCUGAGGUUGUCAAAUCUCCCAGGGAACCAUGGGGUGAUGGUCUCUAUGCAUCCCGCCUGACGUGUGGUGGGCAUGAAUGCUGCCUUGUGUGGUACGGCAUAUUUGGUUUGCUUCCUAGCAGUGUUUAUCUGGCUUGUUUUUUUGUCCUUGGGAGUUUUGCUAAGAAUGGUGAUGAGUGGACAGUCAACAAUCCCGGAAUCUGGGUUAGAUAAACUCCAUGACUUGGACAGCUUCUACAAGUCUUCUCAAAAAGGGUCUUACGGCCUCAGAAAAUGAGCUUGAAAUGUAUUUUGGUCUCACUCAAAAGAAAUCCCCAAUUCUGCAGCUCUUUUUGUGACAAUAUCUUGCUAGCAGAGAGCACCCUUAGGACAGGACCUUCCUGGGAUGGCUCCCUUGUCCUCGUGCUCAGAAAGAAGUGGACAGCAAGUUGGGGUCAGUGAUCGCCUCUAUUCCGGGCUGUGGAUGAAGCAUUCUUCUCUGAGGUAGGGCAUCAGGGUGGGUAUAUCUGGGGAAAGAGGUGAGAUAAUGAGAUAAUAGCAGGCCAGUGGACCCGGAAGAAUCCUAAUUCCCCCUCAGCCCAUCUCCCCUUCCCCUGAGGUCUGCGAGGGAGGUACAUGCUCAGAGGACAAUCUCCUGGGGGAUCGGUGUAUCCCAGCUGCAGCUCUGAUCUCACGCGCUAAGCUCCAGCAUGGUCUUCAGAGCUGGCAAAGGUUGGAUCACGUGGUGAACCAACCUUGGCCUGAAAGAUUAGGCCAGAGAAACCAUUUUACCCUGAGGCUGAGAUGUAGUUGUUCCUGGUGUUCGUCCCAGGCCACCCAAAUGUCGGGGAAGCUCACCCGUGAACUUCUAACCUCAGCCCCAUGAGGAGAAGAAGACAAAGCGAGCUUAGAAAAGCCAAGGAGAGGUGGUGGUCUGGGAAUCCAGCCAAACUGCAAAGAAAAUCUCCCAAAGAGAAAAUCCAUACCCUCUGCUUGACCUUUAACUUCCUGACUUUAGGGCUGUAGCCCAGGGGACUGUUCGUUCAUUUCACCUACCUCUUCUUGUGUGAACUGGGGAAAGGGGGGUGGAUAGGGAGAUGCGGAGGGACAGGAGGCUUGAGGCAGCAGUCCCUCCAUCCUUGAUUUCUCUCUGAGAGGCCAAGGGGCUUAAUACUGGACUUGGGAUCAAGCAGGAGCAUUGCUUUUCCUCUAACUCCAGGAUGUGGGCAUGAGCAAUGUGUUAGGGGAGGCCUGCUCACAUCACCUUGGGUGUAGAUUCCCCAGUCCUUACCAACAUACCUGAGCCCCAUCAAGGACCGGUGAAUGCCUUUUUAAUAGUUCCGCUGAAAGACUUCAAGCUGACCAGAACACUCUUGCAGACAGGCUGCCUGGUGAACAUGUACGCACAAGGUGGGGAAGAGCUGUCUCUGCUCAUUUCAUCUAGUCCCAGGGUCCGCAGAGAUCCUCUAGGGGGUGGGGGCUCCCACAGGGGGACCCCCAGCACAUGACAGCACAAGUUAAAUAGUACAGUUCUGCAAAGGAAAAAAAAAUCUCACUUAUAUGUGGAAUCUAAAAAACAAACAAAGGAAAAAC